Molecule: ribosomal RNA, 760 nt
Filed under: uncultured organism
Description: bacterial SSU rRNA
Rfam family: Bacterial small subunit ribosomal RNA
Source: RNAcentral
CUAAUACAUGCAAGUCGAGCGAUGAGGUCCUUCGGGAGUACAUCAGCGGCGAACGGGUGAGUAACACGUGGGUGACUUGCCCCNGAAGAUGGGGAUAGGCUCUGGAAACGGGGGCUAAUACCCAAUGUGCUCGGUGAUUCGGUUCAUCGAGUAAAGCUCCGGCGCUUCGGGAGAGGCCUGCGGCCCAUCAGCUAGUUGGUAGGGUAACGGCCUACCAAUGCAGAGACGGGUAGGGGGCGUGAGAGCGCGGACCCCCACACUGGCACUGAGAUACGGGCCAGACUCCUACGGGAGGCAGCAGUAAGGGAUAUUGCGCAAUGGACGAAAGUCAGACGCAGCGACGCCGCGUGGGCGAUGAAGGCCUUCGGGUUGUAAAGCCCUUUUAUGGGGGAAGAGAAAAAGGACGGUACCCCAGGAAUAAGUCCCGGCUAACUACGUGCCAGCAGCCGCGGUAAAACGUAGGGGACAAGCGUUAUCCGGAUUCACUGGGCGUAAAGAGCGUUGAGGCGGUUCCGUAAGUUGGGCGUGAAAGCUCCGGGCUUAACUCGGAGAUGUCGUUCAAUACUGCGGGGCUUGAGGACAGCAGAGGAAGGUGGAAUUCCCGGUGUAGUGGUGAAAUGCGUAGAUAUCGGGAGGAACACCCGUGGCGAAGGCGGCCUUCUGGGCUGUUCCUGACGCUGAAGGCGAAAGCUAGGGGAGCGAACGGGAUUAGAUACCCCGGUAGUCCUAGCUGUAAACGAUGGAUGCUGGGUGUGGGGGG